This 512-nucleotide ribosomal RNA is filed under the name uncultured bacterium. RNAcentral describes it as "partial 16S ribosomal RNA". It matches the Rfam family "Bacterial small subunit ribosomal RNA", at positions 28 to 523 of the family's 1533-position model. The record is from RNAcentral.
GACGAACGCUGGCGGCGUGCCUAAUACAUGCAAGUCGAGCGGACCAAUAGAAGCUUGCUUCUGUUGGUUAGCGGCGGACGGGUGAGUAACACGUGGGCAACCUGCCUGUAAGACUGGGAUAACUUCGGGAAACCGGAGCUAAUACCGGAUAAUUCAUCCCCUCGCAUGAGGGGAUGCUGAAAGUCGGUUUACGCUGACACUUACAGAUGGGCCCGGGGCGCAUUAGCUAGUUGGUGAGGUAAUGGCUCACCAAGGCGACGAUGCGUAGCCGACCUGAGAGGGUGAUCGGCCACACUGGGACUGAGACACGGCCCAGACUCCUACGGGAGGCAGCAGUAGGGAAUCUUCCACAAUGGACGAAAGUCUGAUGGAGCAACGCCGCGUGAGCGAUGAAGGCCUUCGGGUCGUAAAGCUCUGUUGUUAGGGAAGAACAAGUAUCGGAGUAACUGCCGGCACCUUGACGGUACCUAACCAGAAAGCCACGGCUAACUACGUGCCAGCAGCCGCCGUAA